RNAcentral lists this small RNA (554 nucleotides) under Botryosphaeria dothidea. Its description in RNAcentral is "eukaryotic LSU rRNA". The stretch from base 195 to 348 matches the Rfam family "5.8S ribosomal RNA". Lineage: Eukaryota; Fungi; Ascomycota; Dothideomycetes; Botryosphaeriales; Botryosphaeriaceae. The record is from RNAcentral.
GCGGAGGAUCAUUACCGAGUUGAUUCGGGCUCCGGCCCGAUCCUCCCACCCUUUGUGUACCUACCUCUGUUGCUUUGGCGGGCCGCGGUCCUCCGCGGCCGCCCCCCUCCCCGGGGGGGUGGCCAGCGCCCGCCAGAGGACCAUCAAACUCCAGUCAGUAAACGAUGCAGUCUGAAAAACAUUUAAUAAACUAAAACUUUCAACAACGGAUCUCUUGGUUCUGGCAUCGAUGAAGAACGCAGCGAAAUGCGAUAAGUAAUGUGAAUUGCAGAAUUCAGUGAAUCAUCGAAUCUUUGAACGCACAUUGCGCCCUUUGGUAUUCCGAAGGGCAUGCCUGUUCGAGCGUCAUUACAACCCUCAAGCUCUGCUUGGUAUUGGGCACCGUCCUUUGCGGGCGCGCCUCAAAGACCUCGGCGGUGGCGUCUUGCCUCAAGCGUAGUAGAACAUACAUCUCGCUUCGGAGCGCAGGGCGUCGCCCGCCGGACGAACCUUCUGAACUUUUCUCAAGGUUGACCUCGGAUCAGGUAGGGAUACCCGCUGAACUUAAGCAUAUC